This 71-nucleotide transfer RNA is filed under the name Saitoella complicata NRRL Y-17804. It matches the Rfam family "tRNA". From Rfam's summary of the family: Transfer RNA (tRNA) molecules are approximately 80 nucleotides in length. Lineage: Eukaryota; Fungi; Ascomycota; Saitoellomycetes; Saitoellales; Saitoellaceae. The record is from Rfam by way of RNAcentral.
AAGAGUUUAGUUUACUGGUAAAACAUUUGAUUCCAAAUCAUAGGUAAUAGGUUCAAUUCCUUUAACUCUUG